RNA transcript from Labrus mixtus (cuckoo wrasse), 1166 nucleotides. It is a transcript of the gene named ADP-ribosyl cyclase/cyclic ADP-ribose hydrolase 1-like, with no coding region annotated. Lineage: Eukaryota; Metazoa; Chordata; Actinopteri; Labriformes; Labridae. The record is from RefSeq and is a predicted model, not a curated record. The transcript is spliced from 7 exons.
GCUUUGGCCAUCGGGGUUAUUGUCACUGUCGUGGUUGUCGUGGUUGUUGUUGUUCCUUCGGUACUUCUGACUCAAAAAGCCGAGUUCAGGGAAACAUUCAUGAAGAAGUGUUUGGAGUUUCCAAAGGAAAAACAUAUCUGUGAAACUAUUUGGCCUAACUUUGAACAGGCCUACGUAGGAAAGGAGAAAUGUAACUUUUCUGACCAAAACUAUGAUCAACUCUUGGCUGAGACCCCCUUCAAGCAUCCAUGUGGCAAAACGAUGUUCUGGAGCAAAACGAAGGAUUUGGUCCAUAAGUUCACCAAGAAGAGAGAUUGCUUCUUCACCUUGGAGGACACUUCGUUGGGAUAUGUGCUGAAUGGACUGAGCUGGUGUGGGGAAAAGGGAAACAAUGAAACAUUCACUGAGAAUUGUGAAGACUGCCUGCCCAACCCUGUUAGCUCAUUCUGGAAAAUAGCCUCCACCAGGGUAAGUAUCCAGAAGCAAAAUCAAUAGUUUGACCAAAAAAUACACCGAUUUGGUUAGUGACAUGUAUGACGGUGUGUGUGUGUGUGUGUGUGUGUGUGGUUUGCACAAUAUGCCUGUGAGGGAGCAUCAGUAAUGCUUGAUGGUGAGAGAAAAGAGCCAUACGAUUCUAACAGUUUCUUUGGAAGUGUAGAGGUUCCAAAUCUUCAACCACCCAGAGUAAAGAACCUCACUGUGGUUCUGGUCACUGAGGAGAUUAGGGCCUGUACCUGUGAAUCCCUCGGGACUUUAAGGAAGGACCUGGAUCAAAGAAUAGGUUGUGCCUGCAAAGCAGUGACUAAUACGUCUCUUGUUUCACUGUAGAUCACGUGUGGAGACGUGCAUAGAAGACAACACGCCAUGUGGAGCCUGCUGGUGAAGGCCUAAAUGUCAAACUACAAUGUUAGCCAAAAACAAUAUGAAGCAGCUUAAAAGAAAUGUAAUUAAAUCAUUUUUUCAUUCCUACACAAUUUAUUAAAGUGCUAUUAUAUGUCUUGUAGAUUCAGUUUUUGGGGGUUCACGAUCCAUGUAUGUCUCAAAAUCGUUUAAAAAUAUAUAUUUAUCUUUCUUUUUAUGAAUCAUUCUUGCUUUGACUGUUCAACUGAUGAGCUCACUUCUGAUUUUGUGGCAUUGAAAUAUUUAAAUAAAAGUGUCUUAUGAAA